This 367-nucleotide long non-coding RNA is filed under the name Pelobates cultripes (western spadefoot toad). Lineage: Eukaryota; Metazoa; Chordata; Amphibia; Anura; Pelobatidae. The record is from RNAcentral.
UUUAAAGGGACACUAUAGUCACCUGAACAACUUUAGCUUAAUGAAGCAGUUUUGGUGUAUAGAACAUGCCCCUGCAGCCUCACUGCUCAAUCCUCUGCCAUUUAGGAGUUGAAUCCCUUUGUUUAUGAACCCUAGUCACACCUCCCUGCAUGUGACUUGCACAGCCUUCCAUAAACACUUCCUGUAAAGAGAGCCCUAUUUAGGCUUUCUUUAUUGCAAGUUCUGUUUAAUUAAGAUUUUCUUAGCCCCUGCUAUAUUAAUAGCUUGCUAGACCCUGCAAGAGCCUCCUGUAUGUGAUUAAAGUUCAAUUUAGAGAUUGAGAUACAAUUAUUUAAGGUAAAUUACAUCUGUUUGAAAGUGAAACCAG